UACGUAGGGUGCGAGCGUUAAUCGGAAUUACUGGGCGUAAAGGGUGCGCAGGCGGCGUCGCAAGUCAGGCGUGAAAUCCCCGGGCUUAACCUGGGAACUGCGUUUGAAACUACAAGGCUAGAGUGUGGCAGAGGGGGGUGGAAUUCCACGUGUAGCAGUGAAAUGCGUAGAGAUGUGGAGGAACACCGAUGGCGAAGGCAGCCCCCUGGGUUAACACUGACGCUCAGGCACGAAAGCGUGGGGAGCAAACAGG
Molecule: ribosomal RNA, 253 nt
Filed under: uncultured bacterium
Lineage: Bacteria
Description: partial 16S ribosomal RNA
Rfam family: Bacterial small subunit ribosomal RNA
Source: RNAcentral